CGGGUUGUAAAGCACUUUGAUCUGGGAAGAAAAAGCUUUGGCUAAUAUCCAAAGCCUUGACGGUACCAGAGGAACAAGCACCGGCUAACUCUGUGCCAGCACCCGCGGUAAUACAGAGGGUGCUAGCGUUAAUCGGAUUUACUGGGCGUAAAGCGUGUGUAGGCGGUUCGUUAAGUCGGAUGUGAAAGCCCUGGGCUCAACCUGGGAAUUGCACUCGAUACUGGCGGGCUAGAGUACGGUAGAGGGCGGCGGAAUUCCGGGUGUAGCGGUGAAAUGCGUAGAUAUCCGGAGGAACACCGAUGGCGAAGGCAACCGCCUGGGCCUGUACUGACGCUGAGACACGAAAGCGUGGGGGGCAAACAGGAUUAGAUACCCUGGUAGUCCACGCCGUAAACGAUGAGAACUUGACGUCGGUUUGCUCUGCGAAUCGGUGUCGAAGCUAACGCGCUAAGUUCUCCGCCUGGGGAGUACGGCCGCAAGGUUGAAACUCAA
Molecule: ribosomal RNA, 492 nt
Filed under: Panacagrimonas sp.
Lineage: Bacteria; Pseudomonadati; Pseudomonadota; Gammaproteobacteria; Nevskiales; Nevskiaceae
Description: bacterial SSU rRNA
Rfam family: Bacterial small subunit ribosomal RNA
Source: RNAcentral